RNAcentral lists this ribosomal RNA (221 nucleotides) under uncultured bacterium. Its description in RNAcentral is "partial 16S ribosomal RNA". It matches the Rfam family "Bacterial small subunit ribosomal RNA", at positions 99 to 334 of the family's 1533-position model. The record is from RNAcentral.
CGUACGGGUGAGUAACACGUGGAUGAUCUACCUUUUAGUGGGGAAUACCGCUGGGAAACCGGCGACAAUACCGCAUAAGCCCGAGAGGGGAAAGCAGCAAUGCGCUAGAAGAGGAGUCCGCGGCUGAUUAGCUAGUUGGUGAGGUAAGAGCUCACCAAGGCAACGAUCAGUAGCCGGCCUGAGAGGGCACACGGCCACACUGGCACUGAAACACGGGCCAG